AUUGAACGCUGGCGGCAGGCAUAACACAUGCAAGUCGAGCGGUAGCACAGGGAGCUUGUUCCUGGGUGACGAGCGGCGGACGGGUGAUAAUGUCUGGGAAACUGCCUGAUGGAGGGGGAUAACUACUGGAAACGGUAGCUAAUACCGCAUAACGUCGCAAGACCAAAGAGGGGGACCUUCGGGCCUCUUGCCAUCAGAUGUGCCCAGAUGGGAUUAGCUAGUAGGUGGGGUAACGGCUCACCUAGGCGACGAUCCCUAGCUGGUCUGAGAGGAUGACCAGCCACACUGGAACUGAGACACGGUCCAGACUCCUACGGGAGGCAGCAGUGGGGAAUAUUGCACAAUGGGCGCAAGCCUGAUGCAGCCAUGCCGCGUGUAUGAAGAAGGCCUUCGGGUUGUAAAGUACUUUCAGCGGGGAGGAAGGUGCUGAGGUUAAUAACCUCAGCAAUGACGUUACCCGCAGAAGAAGCACCGGCUAACUCCGUGCCA
Molecule: ribosomal RNA, 489 nt
Filed under: Enterobacter sp. No. 35
Lineage: Bacteria; Pseudomonadati; Pseudomonadota; Gammaproteobacteria; Enterobacterales; Enterobacteriaceae
Description: bacterial SSU rRNA
Rfam family: Bacterial small subunit ribosomal RNA
Source: RNAcentral